GAGGCCAAGAUGGAUGGAUCAUUUCAGACAUAGUCCUCAUUUCCAAGAUAACAAGCCUGACAAAAUUAUACUGGAGCAAGUCCACAGAUACCACCGGAGAAAUAGUGUUGACGCAGUCUCCAGCCACCCUGUCUUUGUCUCCAGGGGAAAGAGCCACCCUCUCCUGCAGGGCCAGUCAGAGUGUUAGCAGCUACUUAGCCUGGUACCAGCAGAAACCUGGCCAGGCUCCCAGGCUCCUCAUCUAUGGUGCAUCCAACAGGGCCACUGGCAUCCCAGCCAGGUUCAGUGGCAGUGGGUCUAGGACAGACUUCACUCUCACCAUCAGCAGCGUGGAGCCUGAAGAUUUUGCAGUUUAUUACUGUCAGCAGUAUAAUAACCAGCCUCCCACAGUGAUUCAACAUGAAACAAAAACCUCAAGAAGACCAUCAGUGUUUACUAGAUUAUACCAGCUGCUUCCUUUACAGACAGCUAGUGGGGUGGCCACUCAGUUUUAGCAUCUCUGCUCUAUUUGGCCAUUUUGGAGCUCAAGUUCUCAAGUCCAAAAUUACUUAUGUUAGUCCAUUACAUCAUACCAUUUCAGCAUGGCUAUUACAUUCAUUUAAACGCAUUUUAUAAGGCAU
Molecule: long non-coding RNA, 620 nt
Filed under: Pan troglodytes (chimpanzee)
Lineage: Eukaryota; Metazoa; Chordata; Mammalia; Primates; Hominidae
Description: long non-coding RNA NONPTRT010718
Source: RNAcentral